GAUGAACGCUGGCGGCGUGCCUAAUACAUGCGAGUCGAGCGAACAGACGAGGAGCUUGCUCCUCUGACGUUAGCGGCGGACGGGUGAGUAACACGUGGAUAACCUACCUAUAAGACUGGGAUAACUUCGGGAAACCGGAGCUAAUACCGGAUAAUAUAUUGAACCGCAUGGUUUAAUAGUGAAAGACGGUUUUGCUGUCACUUAUAGAUGGAUCCGCGCCGCAUUAGCUAGUUGGUAAGGUAACGGCUUACCAAGGCGACGAUGCGUAGCCGACCUGAGAGGGUGAUCGGCCACACUGGAACUGAGACACGGUCCAGACUCCUACGGGAGGCAGCAGUAGGGAAUCUUCCGCAAUGGGCGAAAGCCUGACGGAGCAACGCCGCGUGAGUGAUGAAGGUCUUCGGAUCGUAAAACUCUGUUAUUAGGGAAGAACAAAUGUGUAAGUAACUAUGCACGUCUUGACGGUACCUAAUCAGAAAGCCACGGCUAACUACGUG
This 497-nucleotide ribosomal RNA is filed under the name uncultured bacterium. RNAcentral's name for it is "partial 16S ribosomal RNA". It matches the Rfam family "Bacterial small subunit ribosomal RNA", at positions 28 to 507 of the family's 1533-position model. The record is from RNAcentral.